UAGUGACAUCAUAUUCCCUCGCCCCUGUAACGGGUAUAAUGACAUCAUAUUCCCUCGCCCUGUAACGGGUAUAAUGACAUCAUAUUCCCUCGCCCCUCUAGCAGGUAUAAUGACAUCAUAUUCCCUCGCCCCUCUUGCAGGUAUAAUGACAUCAUAUUCCCUCGCCCCUCUAGCAGGUAUAAUGACAUCAUAUCCCCUCGCCCCUCUAGCAGGCAUAAUGACAUCAUUUCCCCUCGCCCCUCUAACGGGUAUAAUGACAUCAUAUUAUGGUCACUGUAGAUCCUUUGUUGAGUCACAGUCAGACCUCAUAACUACAUCUUUCCACCAAUCCUGAAAUGCUGCAGCCUGGUCCCCGUAUGAUUGUGUUCUUGCUUACUCCAUUGUUGUCAUCGUUAACUCAACUUGGCAUGACCAUUAGUGACAAGGAGUUGGCAUGAUGGCACAAACAGACUGGUGCUCACGCUAGCAAUGUUGACAUUACUUAUGAUAAUAAGCCAGACAUUACUAUGGAGGACAAGCCAAAUAUCCCAUGCCGUGUAAAUGGGGUUAUGAAUUCCACCAGCCUUUCGUUACAUUGAUGAUGAAGGACAGAGGCGGACUUGGCUGUGUUUCAUCAGUGUCAAAUGAAACAGGCCCCCAAACAGCUGAAUCCACCCCUGCUGAAGAGGGUAAAGGGUUUAUCGGCAGCCCAGACAGUAUGAUAGUCCAUCACCCUCAGAGAAACAUGCAACGCCACCUCGUAGUGUGUGACUGUCUGUAUGUGAGGAGAGAUUGCUGUGUGUGUGUGUGUGUGUGUGUGUGUGUGUGUGUGUGUGUGUGUGUGUGUGUGAGACAAAGUGCAGUGUGUGUGUGUGUACAGCAUAAAAAAAAGUGUAUUUGAUGUGGGAUCUGAGAUAAACUGAAUGUAUUGUCAUGGCUGACCUCGGAUCAGAAUAGACUGGAAAAGCUGCGAUUCAGAUGACACCCUUUUUCCUUAUAUAGAGCCCUAUGGGCAUUGGUCAAAAGUAGUGCACUACAUAUGGAAUAGGAUCCCAUUGGGGAUACAAGCCCACUACUGUGGGAAGCUGUAAAAAAAAAAAAAUACUAUUCUCAGUGGAUUGUUAGUUCUGGAACUGCCCAAACCUGAAGUUACUCAUAAGACCUGGUCUGAGAACAGUUUUUAGAUGUUAUUUUAUUUCCCUUAUUGUUAACAGUUUGGGUCAGGAGGGAGAAAGCUGAUCACAGAUCAGGGUCCGUAUUCAUAAAUCCGGAUCGGUUUAGCCUUUUAUAUUAUAAUGAAAAGACAAGUGAGGGGGGGUAGUGGAACCUGAUCUGAGAUCAACACUCCUUCUCUCAGAUGAUUUCUGAAUACUGUACUUUGGGCUAGCAGUCCCUUUUGAACACUGAMGUACAGUAACACUUUGUCUGUAUGAGGCAUACGGGUCCUAGUAUUCAGUGACUCUUAUGUAUAGUUCUAUGUUAUGGGCCCUGUCUCAGAAUUUAAACGCUGUAUUUCCUCUGUUUUGCUGUACGAUCGAUUGAUUGAUCACGAUUUGUCGAGAUGUAUCACUGUCGAUCARAGUUUUUUGAUAAAAGCUGGAUGUCAUUGCUGAGAAUUGACUUACAUUUUUUUAAAGAAUAGCCAAUUCUAAAGAAAUCCCUCUUAUCACCACCCCUCUGCCAAUUUCCAAAGAUUGUUAAGAUUUUGAAAUGAAUAUAAGCCAUGAGGUAAUGUUUUUUUUUAAAAAGCAUUUAUAUCAGGACUUGGAGCAAAACAACCUUUUUUUGCCCCUCAAAAAAAAUAUCAUACAGGCAGUGAAUAUAAAUCAAUUUACAACAAAAUAAUUCCUCUCUAUACCUUUUAAUUUGGGAGAUUUUUUUUUUAAAUGCCCUGUUUUUGUAUUGUCUGCCAGUUUUCUUAGAGCUAAAAAUGCAAGAACCCUUGAAAUGCUAAAAAAAAAAAAAGAACUAGCAUAUUGCCUUAGAUUGUCUGUUCUCCUUGUAUAUUUUAAAGCUAUCUGUAUCAUAUUUGUAUUGUGAAUAUGUACAUUAUUGAAAUGGGGGGGGGGGGGCAUCAUUGAUCAACACAUCUCAGUUGCUGAGACAAGCAGUCUCUCUCUUUCUUAUCUGUGAUUGGUUGAAGGCUGUAUUAUUUGUAUAAUUUCAUACCCCUCUCCCCCAACUGUUGUCAGUCUGCUAUAUGGAAGAAAAAAAAGAUGAUGCAAUGGGAUAUUGAAGCAAUAUGUAAUAUAUUCUAUGAACUUUCUGGAGAAAGAAAGCCUACAGUGUUGCGCGCUGCUCUGAGAUGUAUUUCCCAGCUGUGUUGUUCACAAGAAACAUCGCACUGUUUGUUCCUUCGUUCCACCCGUCACUCACGCGUCAACGUUUGUAAUCUUUAGUGUGGAGCAUUUUAUGCAAAAGUUAGAUAUGCCGGCAGAAGUUUAAACACAGUUAUAUGCAAGUUGUCAACUAAUAAGGCUUCGCUGAUGCUAUUUGCAAUUUUGAUGUUGAAUAAUACCAUUGUAAAUAAAGAAUUGUUACUGCAACAUU
Molecule: non-coding RNA, 2529 nt
Organism: Salvelinus sp. IW2-2015
Lineage: Eukaryota; Metazoa; Chordata; Actinopteri; Salmoniformes; Salmonidae
Source: RefSeq, a predicted model, not a curated record